RNAcentral lists this unclassified non-coding RNA (400 nucleotides) under soil metagenome. RNAcentral describes it as "partial contains 5.8S ribosomal RNA, internal transcribed spacer 2, and large subunit ribosomal RNA". The stretch from base 1 to 122 matches the Rfam family "5.8S ribosomal RNA", at positions 35 to 154 of the family's 154-position model. The record is from RNAcentral.
GAUGAAGAACGCAGUGAAAUGCGAUACUUGGUGUGAAUUGCAGAAUCCCGUGAACCAUCGAGUCUUUGAACGCAAGUUGCGCCUCAAGCCAUUAGGUUGAGGGCACGUCUGCCUGGGCGUCACAUAUCGUUGCCUGAUGCCAGUUUCCUCGUGAUGGGUGACUGUGCAGGGCGAAUGAUGGCUUCCCGUGAGCAUUGUUGCCUCAUGGUUGGUUGAAAAUUGAGUCCUUGGUAGGGAGCGCCGUGAUAGAUGGUGGUUGAGUGACAAACGAGACCCAAUCAUGUGAGACCCCUACCGAAUUUGGCCUUCAUGACCCACAUGCGUCUUUGGAACGCUCAUGACGAGACCUCAGGUCAGGCGGGGCUACCCGCUGAGUUUAAGCAUAUCAAUAAGCGGAGGA